UGCUGAUCAUGCAUUGAACCUAGUGGACAAA
RNAcentral lists this non-coding RNA (31 nucleotides) under Rattus norvegicus (Norway rat). Lineage: Eukaryota; Metazoa; Chordata; Mammalia; Rodentia; Muridae. The record is from RNAcentral.